GACGAACGCUGGCGGCGUGCUUAACACAUGCAAGUCGAACGGAAGGGCCUCUUCGGAGGUACUCGAGUGGCGAACGGGUGAGUAACACGUGGGCAAUCUGCCCUGCACUUCGGGAUAAGCCUGGGAAACUGGGUCUAAUACCGGAUAGGACCUCAAGACGCAUGUCUUCUGGUGGAAAGCUUUUGCGGUGUGGGAUGGGCCCGCGGCCUAUCAGCUUGUUGGUGGGGUGACGGCCUACCAAGGCGACGACGGGUAGCCGGCCUGAGAGGGUGUCCGGCCACACUGGGACUGAGAUACGGCCCAGACUCCUACGGGAGGCAGCAGUGGGGAAUAUUGCACAAUGGGCGCAAGCCUGAUGCAGCGACGCCGCGUGGGGGAUGACGGCCUUCGGGUUGUAAACCUCUUUCACCAUCGACGAAGGUCCGGGUUUUCUCGGAUUGACGGUAGGUGGAGAAGAAGCACCGGCCAACUACGUGCCAGUAGCCGCGGUAAUACGUAGGGUGCGAGCGUUGUCCGGAAUUACCGGGCGUAAAGAGCUCGUAGGUGGUUUGUCGCGUUGUUCGUGAAAUCUCACGGCUUAACUGUGAGCGUGCGGGCGAUACGGGCAGACUAGAGUACUGCAGGGGAGACUGGAAUUCCUGGUGUAGCGGUGGAAUGCGCAGAUAUCAGGAGGAACACCGGUGGCGAAGGCGGGUCUCUGGGCAGUAACUGACGCUGAGGAGCGAAAGCGUGGGGAGCGAACAGGAUUAGAUACCCUGGUAGUCCACGCCGUAAACGGUGGGUACUAGGUGUGGGUUUCCUUCCUUGGGAUCCGUGCCGUAGCUAACGCAUUAAGUACCCCGCCUGGGGAGUACGGCCGCAAGGCUAAAACUCAAAGGAAUUGACGGGGGCCCGCACAAGCGGCGGAGCAUGUGGAUUAAUUCGAUGCAACGCGAAGAACCUUACUUGGGUUUGACAUGCACAGGACGCGUCUAGAGAUAGGCGUUCCCUUGUGGCCUGUGUGCAGGUGGUGCAUGGCUGUCGUCAGCUCGUGUCGUGAGAUGUUGGGUUAAGUCCCGCAACGAGCGCAACCCUUGUCUCAUGUUGCCAGCGGGUAAUGCCGGGGACUCGUGAGAGACUGCCGGGGUCAACUCGGAGGAAGGUGGGGAUGACGUCAAGUCAUCAUGCCCCUUAUGUCCAGGGCUUCACACAUGCUACAAUGGCCGGUACAAAGGGCUGCGAUGCCGUAAGGUUAGGCGAAUCCUUUUAAAGCCGGUCUCAGUUCGGAUUGGGGUCUGCAACUCGACCCCAUGAAGUCGGAGUCGCUAGUAAUCGCAGAUCAGCAACGCUGCGGUGAAUACGUUCCCGGGCCU
Molecule: ribosomal RNA, 1352 nt
Filed under: uncultured bacterium
Lineage: Bacteria
Description: bacterial SSU rRNA
Rfam family: Bacterial small subunit ribosomal RNA
Source: RNAcentral